UCAGUUUAUCAUACAUGUUUCGUUUUGUAUUUCAUUUUAAAUACGAAUACAUACUACAUGUACUUUAGCGAAUAGUUCAACAAUGUUAUGCAGCUCUAUUCUUACUCGUACAGUAUAAAAUUAAAAAAUAAAUGUUCAUCCAUUUAAAAUCGAAAACAGUACAUUUAUAUUUAAAAAAGAAGAUGUGGUAUGAUUGCCCUUCUGAUCCCUUCUGUCCGGUGGGCGUCCGUUUUUUACGGAUGUGUUCUUAAAAAGUGGACAAAUCUUAACUGCGGGAUAAUACCUUGUAUACUAUAAAUACAUAUAUAAAAGAAGAUGUGGUAUGAUUGCCAAUGAGACAACUCUCCACAAGAGAACAAAAUAACACAGAAAUUAACAACUAUAAUAGAUCACCGUACGGCUUUCAAUAAUGAGCAAAGCCCAUACCGCAAAGUCAGCCAUAAAAGGCCCCGAAAUGACAAUGUAAAAUAAUUCAAACGAGAAUUGUUCCUUGUAAACUACGACAUUUCUCACAAGUAUUAAUUUAUUAUUUUGUUCAACACAUGCAAAAGAACUGAAUAAUCUUCGCCGAUGUAACUUUUCAAUUUAUUACAACAACAUGCCUUCACUGAAUUCAUUCAGGUGCACAAAUGAUACGAUUAAAGUUAUUUUGUUUCUAUUUUGGGGGACAAUUU
RNAcentral lists this long non-coding RNA (674 nucleotides) under Mytilus galloprovincialis (Mediterranean mussel). Lineage: Eukaryota; Metazoa; Mollusca; Bivalvia; Mytilida; Mytilidae. The record is from RNAcentral.